GACAGAGGGUGCAAACGUUGUUCGGAAUUACUGGCGUAAAGCGUGUGUAGGCGGCUACGUAAGUCGGAUGUGAAAGCCCCAGGCUCAACCUGGGAAGUGCACUCGAUACUGCGUAGCUUGAGUAUCGGAGAGGUUGGUGGAAUUCUCGGUGUAGAGGUGAAAUUCGUAGAUAUCGAGAGGAACACCGGUGGCGAAGGCGGCCAACUGGACGAAUACUGACGCUGAGACACGAAAGCGUGGGGAGCAAACAGG
Molecule: ribosomal RNA, 252 nt
Filed under: uncultured bacterium
Lineage: Bacteria
Description: partial 16S ribosomal RNA
Rfam family: Bacterial small subunit ribosomal RNA
Source: RNAcentral